GUCUCCCACUCCCUCCCUCUCUCUAUCUUUCCCUUCUUCUCUUCUUUCUCAUCGUUAAUAUCUGAAAACAAUCCUCAGCCAAGUUUAAUACGAAUUCACUGUCUCACGCACAUUUAUUAGGGUUACAUAUUAUUACUCAUCUUUUAAAUCAAUUAUCUCUCUGACAAAAUCAGUUUUUUUGACGGCUAAAGCAUCACUCACUGGAUACAUCAGCUGGACUAUGGAAACAUCAGCUGGACUAUGGACAAAUAACAAGUAACAAACAAUAGUCCAGAUCACCUCAAACCUUGGCAGAGCAGUCCUCUCCUUCAUCGAGAUGUCACGACCUCGUGUGGAUCCUCCAAGUAAAGAAUGGUUGAAGGCACCUAAGGGUUCACCUCGGUUUAUUGAAGGUGUUAAGUCGUUCAUUCAGUUUACAGUUGAGAGUCUUGGGGAAGAUAUAAAUGAAUUUCAUUGUCCUUGCAUGAAAUGUAAGAAUUACAAUACUUGUCCAAAGUCUCUUGAUGAAAUACAUGGGGAUAUUCUUCAGCAUGGGUUUGAUGUGACAUCGAACGUGGAUCCAUCAUGGAGAGCAAUCUCGUGCGAAUGAUUCCAGCGUUAGAUCUCCUACGUUACCCACUGAUAAUAUUGUGAAUGAAGCUCCUGGUCCGAGAAUAGUCGACUUGUUCUUUGACACACUAGGCCGCGCUGAGUUCAUUAACAAUGAAGACUUCCUUGGUGAUUCUGAUCCGCAAGUUGGUACUGCUGCAACAGUUGAAGAUGGUUCUGGUGCUAAUGUUGAAGAUGGGUGCUGGUGUCGAUUACAGUGAGAUGAUGCUGGAUGCGUUACAACCCCUGUAUCCAGAUUGUGGUGGUGAACAUACAAAACUGUCGGCAGUAAUCGAGCUACUUAGUAUGAAAGCAAGUAAAUACAAGAGGUACAUUGGAAGUCUAAACAGAAAAUCAAGGAGCAAGGCUAUGAAUUACAGUCCCUGGUUAAGAGAGGAACUUCUAGGCACACCCAUGACAGAGUUUCAUAGGAUCGUACUUGGUCCUUCCAGACAGUUUCCUAUCGCAGCAACAAUCCCAAAUAUUCUGUGAAUUUUAUCUUUCAACGGCAUUGUUCACCAAUGCAUUGCGUGCCUAGUAUUUUCCCGUACUAUGUUCCCAGCCGAACCCUCAAUAUUGACAUGACAUGACAACUAAAUGUUCACUCUCAGCAGAGUAGCAUGAGUCUCCCGAAGUGUCAGUAUUGAGACCUGCGUGUAAGUACCCACAUAGACUGCAUCACUCUCUGACAGAGAGAAUUUCGUAUCAACGCACUUUUAAGUUA
Molecule: long non-coding RNA, 1312 nt
Organism: Papaver somniferum (opium poppy)
Lineage: Eukaryota; Viridiplantae; Streptophyta; Magnoliopsida; Ranunculales; Papaveraceae
Exons: 4
Source: RefSeq, a predicted model, not a curated record